This 859-nucleotide ribosomal RNA is filed under the name Pleospora sp. PP141. RNAcentral's name for it is "eukaryotic LSU rRNA". It matches the Rfam family "Eukaryotic large subunit ribosomal RNA", at positions 56 to 936 of the family's 3401-position model. The record is from RNAcentral. Lineage: Eukaryota; Fungi; Ascomycota; Dothideomycetes; Pleosporales; Pleosporaceae.
AGAAGACCAACAGGGAUUGCCUCAGUAACGGCGAGUGAAGCGGCAACAGCUCAAAUUUGAAAUCUGGCCCUUUCAGGGUCCGAGUUGUAAUUUGCAGAGGGUGCUUUGGCGUCGGCCGUGGUCUAAGUUCCUUGGAACAGGACGUCACAGAGGGUGAGAAUCCCGUACGUGGCCGCCGGUCUUCGCCGUGUAAAGCCCCUUCGACGAGUCGAGUUGUUUGGGAAUGCAGCUCUAAAUGGGAGAUAAAUUUCUUCUAAAGCUAAAUAUUGGCCAGAGACCGAUAGCGCACAAGUAGAGUGAUCGAAAGAUGAAAAGCACUUUGGAAAGAGAGUCAAAAAGCACGUGAAAUUGUUGAAAGGGAAGCGCUUGCAGCCAGACGUGCCCGCAGUUGCUCACCUAGGCUUUUGCCUGGGGCAUUCUUCUGCGGGCAGGCCAGCAUCAGUUCGGACGGUUGGAUAAAGGCCUCUGUCACGUAUCUUCCUUCGGGAUGACCUUAUAGGGGAGGCGCAACACGACCAGUCUGAACUGAGGACCGCGCAUCAGCUAGGAUGCUGGCGUAAUGGCUGUAAGCGGCCCGUCUUGAAACACGGACCAAGGAGUCUAACAUCUAUGCGAGUGUUUGGGUGUAAAGCCCGGGCGCGCAAUGAAAGUGAACGGAGGUAGGAACCCCUCGGGGUGCACUAUCGACCGAUCCUGAAGUCUUCGGAUGGAUUUGAGUAAGAGCAUAGCUGUUGGGACCCGAAAGAUGGUGAACUAUGCCUGAAUAGGGUGAAGCCAGGGGAAACCCUGGUGGAGGCUCGCAGCGGUUCUGACGUGCAAAUCGAUCGUCAAAUUUGGGCAUAGGGGCGAAAGACUAAUC